UACGUAGGUGGCAAGCGUUGUUCGGAAUUAUUGGGCGUAAAGGGCGCGUAGGCGGCAUGUUAAGUCGGCUGUGAAAGCCUGGGGCUCAACCCCAGAGGGUCGGCCGAUACUGGCAAGCUAGAGUACGGAAGAGGCAAGUGGAAUUCCCGGUGUAGCGGUGAAAUGCGCAGAUAUCGGGAGGAACACCAAUGGCGAAGGCGGCAUCCUGGACCGACAUUGACGCUGAAGGCCGAAAGCUAGGGGAGCAAACGGG
RNAcentral lists this ribosomal RNA (253 nucleotides) under uncultured bacterium. Its description in RNAcentral is "partial 16S ribosomal RNA". It matches the Rfam family "Bacterial small subunit ribosomal RNA", at positions 524 to 776 of the family's 1533-position model. The record is from RNAcentral.